GUAGGUGGGCAAGCGUUGUCCCGGGAAUUAUUGGGCGUAAAGCGCGCGCAGGGCGGUUCUUUAAGUCUGAUGUGAAAGCCCACGGCUCAACCGUGGAGGGUCAUUGGAAACUGGAGAACUUGAGUACAGAAGAGGAAAGCGGAAUUCCACGUGUAGCGGUGAAAUGCGUAGAGAUGUGGAGGAACACCAGUGGCGAAGGCGGCUUUCUGGUCUGUAACUGACGCUGAGGCGCGAAAGCGUGGGGAGCAAACAGGAUUAGAUACCCUGGUAGUCCACGCCGUAAACGAUGAGUGCUAAGUGGUUUAGGGGGUUUCCCGCCCCUUAGUGCUGCAGCUAACGCAUUAAGCACUCCGCCGUGGGGAGUACGACCGCAAGGUU
Molecule: ribosomal RNA, 378 nt
Filed under: uncultured organism
Description: partial 16S ribosomal RNA
Rfam family: Bacterial small subunit ribosomal RNA
Source: RNAcentral